AUCUGGAGAGGAUGCUUCUGGCGCGGCGCCUUCCGAGUUCCCUGGAACGGGACGCCGGAGAGGGUGAGAGCCCCGUACGGUCGGACGCCCAGCCUCUGUGAAGCUCCUUCGACGAGUCGAGUAGUUUGGGAAUGCUGCUCAAAAUGGGAGGUAAAUUUCUUCUAAAGCUAAAUACCGGCCAGAGACCGAUAGCGCACAAGUAGAGUGAUCGAAAGAUGAAAAGCACUUUGAAAAGAGGGUUAAACAGUACGUGAAAUUGUUGAAAGGGAAGCGCCCGUGGCCAGACUUGCGCCGCGCGGACCACCCGGCGUUCUCGCCGGUGCACUCCGCGCGGCGCAGGCCAGCAUCGGUUUUCCCAGGGGGACAAAGGCCGCGGGAACGUAGCUCCUCCGGGAGUGUUAUAGCCCGCGGCGCCAUGCCCCUGGGGGGACCGAGG
RNAcentral lists this ribosomal RNA (436 nucleotides) under Leptographium gestamen. RNAcentral's name for it is "eukaryotic LSU rRNA". It matches the Rfam family "Eukaryotic large subunit ribosomal RNA", at positions 148 to 591 of the family's 3401-position model. The record is from RNAcentral. Lineage: Eukaryota; Fungi; Ascomycota; Sordariomycetes; Ophiostomatales; Ophiostomataceae.